CAUGCCCCUUAUACGCUGGGCUACACACGUGCUACAAUGGGUAGAACAGAGAGUCGCAAAGCUGUGAAGUGGAGCUAAUCUCAGAAAACUAUUCUUAGUUCGGAUUGUACUCUGCAACUCGAGUACAUGAAGUUGGAAUCGCUAGUAAUCGCGAAUCAGCAAUGUCGCGGUGAAUACGUUCUCGGGUCUUGUACACACCGCCCGUCACACCACGAGAGUUGGUUGCACCUGAAGUAGCAGGCCUAACCGUAAGGAGGGAUGCUCCGAGGGUGUGAUUAGCGAUUGGGGUGAAGUCGUAACAAGGUAUCCGUACGGGAACGUGCGGAUGGAUCACCUCCUUUCUAAGGAGUAUAAGUCUUUCUCUAUUCUAUUGGUAAUGUUCUUACAUUACUUCUGAACAUUGGAAACUAUAUAGUAGAACAAACAAGAAAAAAAUUAACUCUAACAAUUUCUUAGAGUUAGCUGUCAAAAAAUAGGUUAAAAUAAUUAAGGGCACACAAAGGAUGCCUAGGUAGUAAGAGCCGAUGAAGGACGUGGUAAG
RNAcentral lists this small RNA (541 nucleotides) under uncultured Fusobacterium sp. RNAcentral's name for it is "bacterial SSU rRNA". The stretch from base 1 to 341 matches the Rfam family "Bacterial small subunit ribosomal RNA", at positions 1194 to 1533 of the family's 1533-position model. The record is from RNAcentral. Lineage: Bacteria; Fusobacteriati; Fusobacteriota; Fusobacteriia; Fusobacteriales; Fusobacteriaceae.